RNAcentral lists this small RNA (29 nucleotides) under Bombyx mori (domestic silkworm). RNAcentral's name for it is "ovarian small RNA-27868". Lineage: Eukaryota; Metazoa; Arthropoda; Insecta; Lepidoptera; Bombycidae. The record is from RNAcentral.
UCCUCUCCUAUGACCGUGACGAGGGCGGC